GGCUUGCUGGUCUAGUGGUAUUAUUCUCGCUUUGGGUGCGAGAGGUCACGGGUUCGAUUCCCGUGCAAGCCC
Molecule: transfer RNA, 72 nt
Filed under: Dendronephthya gigantea
Lineage: Eukaryota; Metazoa; Cnidaria; Anthozoa; Malacalcyonacea; Nephtheidae
Description: tRNA-Pro
Rfam family: tRNA
About the family: Transfer RNA (tRNA) molecules are approximately 80 nucleotides in length. Their secondary structure includes four short double-helical elements and three loops (D, anti-codon, and T loops). Further hydrogen bonds mediate the characteristic L-shaped molecular structure. tRNAs have two regions of fundamental functional importance: the anti-codon, which is responsible for specific mRNA codon recognition, and the 3' end, to which the tRNAs corresponding amino acid is attached (by aminoacyl-tRNA synthetases). tRNAs cope with the degeneracy of the genetic code in two manners: having more than one tRNA (with a specific anti-codon) for a particular amino acid; and 'wobble' base-pairing, i.e. permitting non-standard base-pairing at the 3rd anti-codon position.
Source: RNAcentral